This is a small nucleolar RNA of Lactuca sativa (garden lettuce), 107 nucleotides long. NCBI's taxonomy places the organism in Eukaryota, Viridiplantae, Streptophyta, Magnoliopsida, Asterales, Asteraceae. The record is from RefSeq and is a predicted model, not a curated record.
AGAUCACGUUGAGGGAAACUUCUAAGCAAACACGUGUAUCUCUCAUAUGCUUCAUACAAUGAUUCUCCAACUUCCUGUUGAAAGUUAGAAAUCUUCUUUUUAGGCUU